UCGGGUAUGGUGUAACGGCUAACAUUGCCGCCUCUCAUGCAAAUUAUACACCGACAUCGCGGCAGCUCGGGGUUCGAUUCCCCGUACCCGAA
Sphagnurus paluster is the source of this 92-nucleotide non-coding RNA. Lineage: Eukaryota; Fungi; Basidiomycota; Agaricomycetes; Agaricales; Lyophyllaceae. The record is from the annotation of a GenBank genome assembly.